UACAGAGGUGCCGAGCGUUAGGCGGAAUCACUGGGCUUAAAGCGUGUGUAGGCGGACUUCUAAGUACCUUGUGAAAUCCCACGGCUCACCCGUGGAACUGCUGGGUAUACUGGUCGUCUUGAGCCACCUAGGGGCGAGCGGAACAAAUGGUGGAGCGGUGAAAUGCGUAGAUAUCAUUUGGAACGCCAACGGUGAAAACAGCUCGCUGGGGGUGUGCUGACGCUGGGACACGAAAGCCAGGGGAGCGAACGGG
Molecule: ribosomal RNA, 253 nt
Filed under: uncultured bacterium
Lineage: Bacteria
Description: partial 16S ribosomal RNA
Rfam family: Bacterial small subunit ribosomal RNA
Source: RNAcentral